UACAGAGGUCUCAAGCGUUGUUCGGAUUUAUUGGGCGUAAAGGGUGCGUAGGCGGCCAAAAAAGUUAGAUGUGAAAUGCGCUGGCUCAACCGGCGCACUGCAUUUAAUACUGUUUGGCUUGAGCGCUAGAGAAGAGGCUGGAAUUUACGGUGUAGCAGUGAAAUGCGUAGAUAUCGUAAGGAACGCCAGUGGCGAAAGCGAGCCUCCUGAUAGCAUGCUGACGCUGAGGCACGAAAGCCAGGGGAGCAAACGGG
This 254-nucleotide ribosomal RNA is filed under the name uncultured bacterium. RNAcentral's name for it is "partial 16S ribosomal RNA". It matches the Rfam family "Bacterial small subunit ribosomal RNA", at positions 524 to 776 of the family's 1533-position model. The record is from RNAcentral.